RNAcentral lists this ribosomal RNA (807 nucleotides) under Hypogymnia enteromorpha. Its description in RNAcentral is "mitochondrial SSU rRNA". It matches the Rfam family "Bacterial small subunit ribosomal RNA", at positions 368 to 1149 of the family's 1533-position model. Lineage: Eukaryota; Fungi; Ascomycota; Lecanoromycetes; Lecanorales; Parmeliaceae. The record is from RNAcentral.
AUGUAUAGCAAUAGCUACUUGCAUCAUUGUAAAAAUGAUGCAGGAUCGACUAUGUCGAAUAAAAUUCUAGGUAGAAUUAUGAUAAUGACAUUGUCUGCCUAUGUGUCUUGACCAAAUUACGUGCCAGCAGUCGCGGUAAUACGUAGAAGACUAGUGUUAUUCAUGUUUAAUCGGUUUAAAGGGUACCUAGACGGUAAAUCAAGCCUAAAAUUAAAUGAAGGGACUAAUUUACUAGAGUUACUUAUGAGGGGGUAUUAAAGUACUGCUGGUGUAGAGAUGAAAUUCUGUCAUACCUCUUUUCAAUAGAAAAACAAUGGCACAGGUAUAGGCGAAAGCAUCCCCUUAUGUGAUAACUGACGUUGAGGGACGAAGGCUUUGUGUAGCGAACAGGAUUAGAUACCCCAGUAGUCAAAGCAGAAAAUGAUGAAUGUCAUAGAUUAGAUAAAUAAGUUUAUUCUAUAAAUGAAAGUGUAAGCAUUCCACCUCAAGAGUAAUUUGGCAACAUUGGAACUGAAAUCAUUAGACCGUUUCUGAAACCAGUAGUGAAGUAUGUUGUUUAAUUUGAUGAUCCGCAAAAAACCUUNCCACAAUUUGAAUAUUUAUAUUUUUUAUUGUUUUCUUUUUAAUUUUCUUCUGAUUUGAUUUUUCUAAAGAAAAAAAGAAAAAGAGGCGAUAUGAUAUAUUUNCAAGNGUNGCNCGGCUGUCUUCAGUUAAUGUCGCGAGACUUUGGUUAGUUCCAUUAAAUUAACGUAAACCCUUACUUUAUUUUUAUAUAGAGUAGUUCCCCGCUAUAUUGGAUAUGAUAAC